Long non-coding RNA from Lepus europaeus (European hare), 3745 nucleotides. RefSeq lists it as uncharacterized. The record is from RefSeq and is a predicted model, not a curated record. NCBI's taxonomy places the organism in Eukaryota, Metazoa, Chordata, Mammalia, Lagomorpha, Leporidae. The transcript has 7 exons.
GCUGGUUUUGUUGCAAGCGCUGGGCUCUUCAGGGCUGUUUGCUCGUUCUGGUUCAAUCCGGUGCCAUCGCCUUUGUUUUGCGACGGAGCCUGACGACGCGAAGCAGAGAAGCAGGCCCCAAACUGAGGGGACUGAGGACGGCGUGCCGAUGGGUCUCAGGGUGCGAUCUUUGGACCUGGGAGAAAGCGGGAGGGACGAGACGCCGUGCGGUGGAAAUCCUGAAGACCAAGUCGAGCUAAGAACAAGGGACUUGAGAGGCCUGCAGCUUUCUGAGGCGAAGACACCGGCGCUGUGGGCUGCAGCUCACCGAAGCGAUUCCAGAUCCAUGGGCCUAGCGAGGUUUCUGCUUCCUGCUGUUCUGUUCACUUUUGCCCAGAUUCUAGCCCAAAAUAGUCAUCUCAAGGAGCUGUUCUCUUGGAGAUGUUGAUCUUGGAAGACAAUUACCAGAAAUAUGUGGGAAAGCUUUGGUCUGAAGAAUUUACUUCUUUGCCAUGUGAACUUCAUAGGCUGUCUUUGAAUUCAGCAGCUGGCCUUCCGCAGAGGGAAAGAUGGAAGAGAAAAAGUCCAAGAUAGAAGCUUACCUUUUAAAACUCUGGAAGGACAUGUCACCUCUGCCUUGCCCUGUUGUUCACAGAGGCCGUCCUAGUACAGAGAGAGCCCUCAUCGAUCUGUUCACUCCUCAAACACUCAGGAUGGCCAGGGCUGGGCCAGGAUGAAGCCAGGAGUCUGGAACUCCAUCCAGAUCUCCCAUGUGGUUGACAGGGACACAGCUACUUGAACCAUCACCUGCUGCCUCCCAGGGCAUGCAUUAGCAGGAAGCUGGAAUCUAUAGCGGACCUUGGACUUGAACCCAGACAUUCUGUUAUGCAAGGAAUUAAAUCGAAGAGUGUUUUCCUAGAGAACAUCAUUUGUCAGAUUUAUUUGAUCAAGAAUUUGAACAUUUAUUUAGUAAAGAAAUUUAAUGCGUUGUGCUGUUGCUGUGGCGCAGCGCAUUAACGCCCUGGCCUGAAGCGCUGGCAUCCCAUAUGGGCGCCAAUUCUAGUCCCUGCUGCUCCUUUUCCGAUCCAGCUCUCUGCUAUGGCCUGGGAAGGCAGUGGAAGAUGGCCCAAAUCCUUGGGCCCCUGCAUCCACGUGGGAGACCCAGAAGAAGCUCCUGGCUCCUGGCUUCGGGUCAGCGCAGCUCUGGCUGUUGCAGCCAUCUGGGGAGUGAACCAGAGCAUGGAAAACCUCUCUCUGUCUCUACCUCUCUCUGUAACUCUUUCAAAUAAAUAAAGUAAAUCGUUUAAAAAAAUUUGUAGAAACCUAAAGUUGAUAUAAAUGUUGUUUAUAGCCUUUAACAAAAAGAUUUAUGAAUAAUGCAUUCAAAAAUCAUAAAACAUGAAUGAAAUAGAUGCUGCUGUUUGGCCGAACUAUAAACAUAGUAUUGAUUACUGUGGAACAAGUCCAUUGUAUAUACCAUACCAUCCUGUACCUUGUUUUUAUUUGUUUUUAAGAUAUAGUUAUUUGAAAGAGAGAGAUGAGCCAACUACUGUUUGACUUCCUGUGAUGUGCAUAUUGGCCAGGCUGGAGCCAGGAGAUUGAUUCUCUAGGUCUCCCACAUGGGUGCAGGGUCCAAAUGCUUGGGCUAUAUUCCGGCUGCUUUUUCCAGGCCAUUAGCAGGGAGCUAGCUGGGAAGUAGAGCAGCUGAGACACGAACCACAGCCAUAAGGGAUGCCAGUGACACAGGUGGAGGCUUUACCCACUACGCCACAAUGCCAGUCCUGUGAUGGUUUUGUUUCUUUUUCUUUUCUGUAGAACUUUACUGCUGGAGACCUCAAGGUUGUUGAAAGGAGGGGAGGAGGCCUAAUUCUCAAAAGAAUGUCUUUAGACCACCUACAAAUCCCAAUCUGAAGAAUUCUACAUUAAAUUAUCUCUAAAUAUUUGUUCUAGCUCCAAUGAGUAGUUCAGAGUCCUAGAACUAGCCUUCUUUCAGAAAAGCUUCGUUUUCAUUUGAUCUAGGACUAAGCUUGGUUAGUAGUUAACUGACUGUUGUGUUAUUGAACUGCUGUCACGUACAGAAGGCCUUGCUUUGCACAGUUUGCACAGUUGCAGUGUGUUAUUAUAUCAGUUCAGUAAAUGAUAUGAAUCCCCCAACAUGGUUAGCGUUUCAGUUUCACAAUAUAGCUUUUUCACAAUAUAGCAAAAUAUAGCAUAAAGUUUGGUAUUAGCCAUUCAUAUCAUUAUGCAAAUAAGAUGUAUGAACUCAGUAACAGAGCAUGUUACUUGGUUCACACAGCACAGCAAAGUGCAUAGUGUGUUGCUUCCUUGUUUUCCAGAGGUUAAAUUUAUGUGACAGUUGCGCAUCAAAAGAGAAUUGGUCAACAAAAAUGGCAGGUUAGCAAAGAAGAAGUGAUAGCUGGAAGUGAACUUGGAUGUGAUUAGAAAGAUGUGAACAUAAUGACAGCAAAACAAAGAUAGGCCAAGGCUUAGGCCUACAUGAAACUACAGUAUGAAUUGCUGAAAAAGUCAGAUGAAUGUAAAAAGAAGAGUUAGGGGCCUGCGCUGUGGCACAGCAGAUUAACACCCUGGCCUGAAGCGCUGGCAUCCCAUAUGGGCGCCAGUUCUAGUCCCGGCUGCUCCUCUUCUGAUCCAGCUCUCUGCUGUGGCCUGGGAAAGCAGUAGAAGAUGGCCCAAGUGCUUGGGUCCCUGCACCCACAUGGGAGACCCGAAAGAAGCUCCUGGUUCCUGGCUUCAGAUCGGCACAGCUCUGGCUGUUGUGGCCGGUUGGGGAGUGACUCUCUUUCUUUGCCUUUCCUCUCUAUAACUCUUUCAAAUAAAAUAAAUAAAUCUUUAAAAAAAAAAAGGGGGGGGGGGUUAAAGCUGCUUCAACAUCUUGUUUAAAUUGCACUAGGAAUAGAAAGUCACUUUUGGUUGAAAUGAAAUGCUUAUUUCUACGUUGGCUUGAACUAAUUAAAGCAAGAUUCAAUCAGUUUAGCUAACAUUCAGACCAAAACUUUCAUGUUAGUUGCUACAUUGAAAGAAAAUGUUGGUAAAUAUAAGACUGAAAAAUAACAUUUUCCUGCCACUAGAAGCUGAUAUCAUCAGAGGUCAGCAUGGACUGAUGACGUUCAGCUUUCUGGUGAAGCUGCAAGCUCAGGUCAAGAUGUUCCCAUGAAAUUUGCACUGUGAUUCCAGAAUCACAGGCUUUCCUUGCUUUGCCAGUAGUCUGAGAUCAUCCUGCAGGUACAGAGGGAAUGUAGUAGAAGAUAGAGCUGUCUGAGAAUGUUAGCAUGCUGCUAUUAAAGAGGCAGCCGUAGUUCUGUAGCCGGGGAAACUUGAUGAAGGUGAACCUAUAGGCAUAAAUGAGGAAAGUGAUUGGGACGCAAAGCAUGAACAUGUCUUGGGAAGUGAUGUCAACCGAAAACUCGGUAUUUAAGAAACUCUCAGAGCUAUUUCUUGACACGGAAAGUACAAAGGGUAAGAUUUUGGAAACUGACCAGACUUGGAAAGGCAUAGAGCUGUUUUGCCAGGACAUAGAAAAGAUGGCAAGUAAUGAGUUUUUAAUCUUUUGACAAAUAUUAAAGUCUGAACAAUCUUAAAUUUUCCCAUUGAGUAAGAAUGCAUUGCAGUUUAUCCUUGCGUGGUCAAAGCCAGGACUGCUAUCAAGUCUACAAACAGCUAUAUUUUAUCCUUGGAAUUAGUUACAAUUUUAUAUUUCCUUUGCAGAUUGUCUUUGUAUGCUGUUAUAUCAAAGCUCUGAAAUAAA